RNAcentral lists this transfer RNA (73 nucleotides) under Candidatus Woesearchaeota archaeon. Its description in RNAcentral is "tRNA-Asp". It matches the Rfam family "tRNA". From Rfam's summary of the family: Transfer RNA (tRNA) molecules are approximately 80 nucleotides in length. Their secondary structure includes four short double-helical elements and three loops (D, anti-codon, and T loops). Lineage: Archaea; Nanobdellati; Candidatus Woesearchaeota. The record is from RNAcentral.
GCCCUGAUAGUGUAGUGGCCUAGCACGCAGCCCUGUCACGGCUGCAACCCGGGUUCAAAUCCCGGUCAGGGCG